This 3020-nucleotide long non-coding RNA is filed under the name Homo sapiens (human). Its description in RNAcentral is "non-protein coding lnc-CCT8L2-24:1". Lineage: Eukaryota; Metazoa; Chordata; Mammalia; Primates; Hominidae. The record is from RNAcentral.
AGUGUUUGCCCUCACAUAGAAUAUCAGAACAUUGCUACAAAGUUUUGAAUGUUUGUUGCUCACAUAGGAUUCCAGAACACUGCUGCUGGGUUCUGAGUGUUUGUCCCUCACAUAGGAUUCCAGAACACUGCUACGAGUGUUUGAAUGUUUUUCCCUCACAAUUAUUCUGGAACACUGCUUCUGGGAUCUGUAUGUUUGUCCCUCACAAAGGAUUCUAGAGCACUGCUGCUGGUUUCCUGUGUUUGUCCCUCACAUAGGAUUCCAGAACACUUCUACGAAUGUCUGAAUGUUUGUCCCUCAGAUUCGACUCCAGUUCACAGUUACUGUGUUCCGAGGGGUUGUCCCUCAAAUAGGAUUCCAGAACACUGCUGCUGGGAUCUGAGUCUGUGUCCCUCACAUGGGAUUCCAGAAUACAGCUUUUGGGUUCUGAGUGUUUGUCCCUCAUUUUGGAUUCCAGAACAAUGCUACGAGGGUCUGAAUGUUUUUCCCUCACGUGGGAUUCCAGAACACUGCUGCUGGGUUCUGAGGGUUUGUCCCUCAUGUAGGAUUCCAGGACACUACUACGAGGGUUUGAAUGUUUUUCCCUAACAUCGGAUCACAGAACACUGAUAGGAGGUUUUGAGUGUUUUUCCCUCCCAAAGGAUUCCAGAGCACUGCUGCUGGUUUCUUAGAGUUUGUCCCUCACAUAGGACUCCCGAACACUUCUACGAGGGUGUGAAUGUUUGUCCCUCAGAUAGUAUUCCAGUACACUGUGGCUGGGUUUUGAGUGUUUGUGCCUCACAUGGGAUUGAAGGACACUGCUGCUGGGUUCUGAGUGUUUGUCACUCACAUAGGAUUCCAGAACACUGCUGCUGGGUUCUGAGUGUUUAUCCCUCACAUCAGAUUCCAGAACAAUGCCGUUGGCUUCACAGUAUUUGUCCCUCACAUAUGAUUCCAGAACACUCCUAUGAUGUUCUGAAUGUUUGUCCCUCACAAAGGAUUCCAGAACACUGCUGCUGGAUUCUCUGUGUUUGUCCCUCACGUAGGAUUGCAGAACACUGCUUUGAGUGUCUGAAUGUUUCCCCUCACUAAGGAUUCUAGAACACUGCUGCUUUUUUCUGAGUGUUUGUCACUCACAUAGGAUUCCAGAACACACCUGCUGGUUUCUGAGUGUUUGUCUCUCACAUGGGAAUGCAGAACACUGCUCCUGGUUUAAGAAUGUUUGUCCCUCACAUAGCAUUCCAGAACACUGCUGCGAGAUUCUGAAUGUUUUUCCCUCACAAAGGAUUCCAUAACACUACUGCUGGGUUCCGAGUUUUUGAGCCCCACAUAGGAUUCCAGAACACUGCUGCUGUGUUCUGUUUGUUUGUCUCUCACAAAGGAUUACAGAGCACUGCUUUUGGGUUCUGAGUGUUUUUUCCUCACAUAGGAUACAGAACACUGCUGCAGGUUUCUGAGUGUUUGUCACUAACAUAGGAUUCGAAAACACUGCUGCUGAGUUCUGUAUGUUUGUCCAUCACAAAGGAUUCCUGAGAACUGCUUCUGGUAUCUGAGUGUUUCCUCCUCACAUAGGAUUCCAGAACAAUUCUACGAGUGCCUGAAUGUUUGGUCCUCAGGAUUCCAGAACACAGUGGCUGGAAUGUGACUAUUUGUCCUCCACAUAGGAUUCCAGAAUACUGCUACUUAUAUCUGAAUGUUUGUCACUCACAUACGAUUUCAGAACACUGAUGCUUGGUUCUGAAUGUUUGUCACUCACAUAGGAUUCCAGAAAAGUGCUACGAGGUUCUGAAUGUUUGUCCAUCACAAAGGAUUCCAGAACAAUGAUGCUGGGAUCUGAGUGUUUGUCCCUCACAUAGGAUUUCAGAACUCUGCUUCGAUGUUCUGAAUUUUUUUUCCCUCAAUGAGGAUUCUAGAACACUUCUGCUGGUUCCUUAGUAUUUGUCCCUCACAUAGGAUUCCAGAACACAGCAACGAGGGUCUGAAUAUUUGCCCCUCACAAAGGAUUCCAGAAAACUGCUACUGCAUUCUGAGUGUUUGUCCCCCACAAAGGAUUGCAGAGCAUGGUGCUGAAUUCUGAGUGUUUGUCCCUCACAUAGGAUUCCAGAACACAGUGUCUGGGUUCUGAGUGUUUGUCUAUCCCAUAGGAUUCCAAAACACUGGUACGAGGGUCUGAAUGUUGGUCUAAUCCAAAGUUUCCAGAACACUGCUGCUGGGUUCUGAGUUUUUGUCCCUCACAUAGGAUUCCAGAACACUGCUUUGAGGAUAUGAAUGUUUGUCCCUCAUGAAGGAUUCUAGAACACUGCUUCUGGGUUUUGAGUGUUUGUCCCUCAAUAGGAUUCCAGAACACUGCUCCUGGGUUCUGAGUGUUUGUCUCUCACUUAGGAUUCCAGAACAGUGCUAUAAGAUUCUGAAUGUUGGUCCCUCAGAAAGUAUUCCAGAACACUGCUGCUGGGUUCUGAGUGUUUGUCCCUCACAUGGGAUUCCAGAACUCUGCUGCUGGGUUCAGAGUGUUUGGCCCUCACAUAAUAAUCCAGAACACUGCUUUGAGGUUCUGAAUGUUUGUCCCUCACAAACGAUUACUGAACACUGCUGCUGGGUUCUGAGUGGCCCUCACAUAAUAUUCCAGAACACUGCUUUGAGGUUCUGAAUGUUUGUCCCUCACAAACGAUUACUGAACACUGCUUCUGGGUUCUGAGUGUUUGUUCCUCACAUAGGAUUCCAGAGACUCCUACGAGUGUCUGAAAGUUUGUCCCUCAGAUAGGAUUCCAGAACACAGUGGCUGGGUUCUGAGUGUUUGUCCCCCACAUAGGAUUCCAGAACACUGCUACGAAGUUCUGAAUGUUUGUCGCUCACAUAGGAUUUCACAUCACUACUGCUGGGAAUUGAGGGUCUGUCCCUCACAUAGUAGUCCGGAACACUGCUGUCGUCUCUGAGUGUGUGUUUCUCACACAGCAUUCCAGAACAUUGCUACGAGGGUCUUUAUAUAUUUACCUCACAAAGGAUUCCAGAACUCUGCUUCUCGGUUCUGUUUAUUUGUCCCU